CACCCCUGGCAGUGGGCAAAGAGACAGCUUGUUGGUGGUGGUGUUCUUGUAUCAGCCAGUGGCAGAGCAGAUGGCAGUCCUCUGUUCAUCCUAGCCUGAUGCCUGGCUUAGUGGCCAAAGAUGUCUUAUACCUAGGAUUCAUAA
Molecule: small nucleolar RNA, 144 nt
Filed under: Mus musculus (house mouse)
Lineage: Eukaryota; Metazoa; Chordata; Mammalia; Rodentia; Muridae
Description: Small nucleolar RNA SNORA48
Rfam family: Small nucleolar RNA SNORA48
About the family: The snoRNA ACA 48 has been identified to guide pseudouridylation of the residue U3797 in the 28S rRNA subunit. Its host gene EIF4A1 (eukaryotic translation initiation factor 4A1) is shared with U67 and snoRNA mgU6-77
Source: Rfam by way of RNAcentral